AUCCUGCUGACGAGUCCCAAACAGGACGAAAUGCUUUUCUCUGAU
This 45-nucleotide non-coding RNA is filed under the name Schistosoma mattheei. Lineage: Eukaryota; Metazoa; Platyhelminthes; Trematoda; Strigeidida; Schistosomatidae. The record is from RNAcentral.